CUCGUAGGCGGCCAACUAAGUCACACGUGAAAUCCCUCAGCUUAACUGGGGAACUGCGUGUGAUACUGGAUGGCUUGGAUCCGGGAGAGGGAUGCGGAAUUCCAGGUGUAGCGGUGAAAUGCGUAGAUAUCUGGAGGAACACCGGUGGCGAAGGCGGCAUCCUGGACCGGUAUUGACGCUGAGGAGCGAAAGCCAGGGAGCAACG
Molecule: ribosomal RNA, 205 nt
Filed under: uncultured bacterium
Lineage: Bacteria
Description: partial 16S ribosomal RNA
Rfam family: Bacterial small subunit ribosomal RNA
Source: RNAcentral